AUGUCGAGAAGUUCAUUGAGUGUUGUAAACAGAAAAGUUCAGGGUUCUUGUAAGCUUUUGGGUGAAACCAGUUUGGCUUCUGUUGAUUUGGUUUCUGAUGACAAUAAGGAAGAAUUGACUGUUCUUAAAUACCCAGAGCAUGACAAAGCGAACUCAGGCACCCUUUCUAUGCUGGAUGAGGUUUGUGUGCAUUCAAGUGUAGGCACCUUCAAUCAACCUGGAACUCCUGGGGCUAGUGACUGCAAUAAAAAUUUGUCUUCUACUGCUAAGGUAGAUAAUACCUGUGACAGUGAAGCAUCUCAAAAUGGAGCUUCAGCGAUAGAAUUAAAAUCAAAUGGUGCGUCAAGUUUUCCCAUGAAGUCAACAGUAAUUUUCAAGAGAAAAAGGAAGCCAAAUAGAAACUGGGUUCCUCAUGCUACAGAUUGUAUGACAACCAAUAAGGACGAGGAAUUCGAGGUUGAGUUGAGUGGAAGACUCACAGAUUCUCCAAAUUCAAAGAAUGAAUUUAAUAAGUCAGACGGAGAUGAACACUUGCCGUUGGUCAAAAGAGCAAGGGUUCGAAUGGGAAGGCCUCAGUCAGUGGCUUCACCAAAGACAGUUGGCCAGAUUGAUGUCCCUAAUAAUAGAUCAGGGCUUGCUGCACCUGCUGACCACUCUGUUAUGCAUAUUAGCAAUGCUUCUUCAGCUGACCAGUCAUCCAUAUUAAACAUACCUGUCCUGCUAGGGGAUGGUCACUCUGUCUGGAAGAAUAAAGAAUACCAACCAAGGGGUUUAACAUUGGAUGUGGAAGCUGCUUUGCCACCAUCAAAACGCCUCCAUCGUGCUUUAGAAGCUAUGUCUGCUAAUGUUGCGGAAACUAUUAGUAGUCUUCCUGAAGAGAGAGGAUCAAAGCAGUUGAUUCUAAAUGGUUGUGUGUCUGCAGAAAACAGCCAUUCUAGUAAAUCGGCAGACACAGUAGUCACAAGCCCUAGCAGAUCUGGAAUAAUUGAAAGCCUUGGAUCAUCAGGCAUGCAAUUAAUGCAUAGCUCAACAGGCCAAACACACACCUCAGGAUCAAUUUUACAGAAUAAAAAUGUAGUUGUUUCCAUGAAACUGAAUGAGCCUGCCCUUGAUGUGACACAGACCAUAGCUGUACAUGAUCGGUUAUCAUCUUCUCGGAAACCUAGCUAUAAUGAUGUCUCCAAGCUAAUCAGCUACAGUAGUGAUACAAAACCAAUCGGCUGCCCUGCUUUUGAUGUUAACAGGAGUGAUGACAGAUGCGGUGAGCCAGUUGACGGGCCAAAGUUUCUUCUCUCUGAUAAUAAUGUGAACAGUGAUUCAGUAUCACGUGGUGAUACUGUUUUAGCAUCAGCAAUCAAUAUUUGUGAUACCACAAGCUCCUCUUCAUUGGCUACCAAGUCUUCUAGUAUACAGUCUGAUGCAGAUACCCGAACAUCUGAAGUGCACACCUUCUCAGCUUUGGCAUUGAAAGAACUGAACCACAGAAACCUGAAGGAUAGGUGCACGUCUCCAGAUGCAAUGCCUAUGAAAGAACUCAUUGCUGUUGCCCAAGCUAGAAGGUUCUCUCGGUCAACUUCCUUUUCAGAUUACUUCUUGAACGGCAAGUAUAUUUCUAAACCUUUGGUCAGCACACCUCUUAAGGAAGGACAGGGACAGCUUUCACCUUCGAAUCAGAUAGACAGGUCCACCUCUACAAAUGACAGUGUUCAUUCUAGGAGUCGUUCUGAUAACCCACAAGAGAAUGAUGUGAAAAAAGUAGCAAGGAGCAACGAGGCUAAUGCAGCACGGAAGGCUUUUGGAGCUUUUCUUGGUAUGCUGACAAGAACAAAAGAAAACAUAGCAUGUGCAACACGUCUUGCUAUUGAUUGCGCUAAACAUGGCAUUGCUUGGGAGGCGAUUGAUAUUAUUGUUGAAUGCAUGGAAAAGGAAAAUUUAUAUAAGAGGGUGGACCUUUUCUUUCUUAUUGAUUCAAUAACUCAAUGCUCUUGCAAUCAGAAAGGGAAUUCUGCAGGUGGAACUGGUGAUGUAUUCCCCUCCGUUGUUCAGGUGGUUCUGCCUCGUUUACUUUAUGCCGCCGCACCUCCUGGAAAUUCGGCAUGGGAGAAUCGAAGGCAAUGUCUCAAGGUUCUGAAACUUUGGCUUGAGAGGAAAACACUUCCAGAAUACAUCAUUCGUCACCAUAUUAGAGAACUCGAGGUUAUCAAUGAGGCAUCUUUUGGCAGCUCUCGCCGUCCUUCAAGGACAGAGAGAGCUUUAAAUGACCCAUUGCGUGAUAACGAAGGAAUGCUUGUUGAUGAGUAUGGGAGCAAUGCUGGUUUUCACAUACCAAACUUAUUUGCACGAAAGUACUUGAAGACGAUGAAGGAAGCUCCUCUGAGGACAUUAGUUUUGAAGCCGUCACGCCUGAACAUGAGGCUCCAGGUGUUGAUGAGAAGGGAGAAUCUCAAAUACCUGUAG
RNAcentral lists this ribosomal RNA (2457 nucleotides) under Triticum aestivum (bread wheat). RNAcentral describes it as "partial small subunit ribosomal RNA". The record is from RNAcentral. Lineage: Eukaryota; Viridiplantae; Streptophyta; Magnoliopsida; Poales; Poaceae.